GUUGAGUUGAUCUUGAUAUAGGUCAGCGUUGGAGGGGAAACCACUUCACUGACAUAAAUAGAUGGUUUCCCAAGGACAAGAUUAGCGUCCUAAAAUAAGCAUUGAUCAGACCAUAACAUAAACUUUUAAUUAUUUGCAACAUUACCUUGUGUGUUGAGCAUAUCAGGAUAAUUGUAAAAAUAUUCCUUCGGGUAUUCUUGUCACUAACCUUUCCAGGAUUGGAGC
RNAcentral lists this long non-coding RNA (225 nucleotides) under Sorghum bicolor (sorghum). RNAcentral describes it as "long non-coding RNA (SBIC_LNC002791)". The record is from RNAcentral. Lineage: Eukaryota; Viridiplantae; Streptophyta; Magnoliopsida; Poales; Poaceae.